This 475-nucleotide ribosomal RNA is filed under the name uncultured organism. Its description in RNAcentral is "partial 16S ribosomal RNA". It matches the Rfam family "Bacterial small subunit ribosomal RNA", at positions 330 to 797 of the family's 1533-position model. The record is from RNAcentral.
CGUACACUCCUGCGGGAGGCAGCAGUGGGGAAUAUUGCACAAUGGGCGCAAGCCUGAUGCAGCCAUGCCGCGUGUAUGAAGAAGGCCUUCGGGUUGUAAAGUACUUUCAGCGGGGAGGAAGGCGAUAAGGUUAAUAACCUUGUUGAUUGACGUUACCCGCAGAAGAAGCACCGGCUAACUCCGUGCCAGCAGCCGCGGUAAUACGGAGGGUGCAAGCGUUAAUCGGAAUUACUGGGCGUAAAGCGCACGCAGGCGGUCUGUCAAGUCGGAUGUGAAAUCCCCGGGCUCAACCUGGGAACUGCAUUCGAAACUGGCAGGCUAGAGUCUUGUAGAGGGGGGUAGAAUUCCAGGUGUAGCGGUGAAAUGCGUAGAGAUCUGGAGGAAUACCGGUGGCGAAGGCGGCCCCCUGGACAAAGACUGACGCUCAGGUGCGAAAGCGUGGGGAGCAAACAGGAUUAGAUACCCGGGUAGUCCC